RNAcentral lists this ribosomal RNA (465 nucleotides) under uncultured Granulicatella sp. Its description in RNAcentral is "bacterial SSU rRNA". It matches the Rfam family "Bacterial small subunit ribosomal RNA", at positions 338 to 795 of the family's 1533-position model. The record is from RNAcentral. Lineage: Bacteria; Bacillati; Bacillota; Bacilli; Lactobacillales; Carnobacteriaceae.
CCUACGGGAGGCAGCAGUAGGGAAUCUUCCGCAAUGGACGCAAGUCUGACGGAGCAACGCCGCGUGAGUGAAGAAGGUUUUCGGAUUGUAAAACUCUGUUGUUAGAGAAGAACAAGUGCUAGAGUAACUGUUAGCGCCUUGACGGUAUCUAACCAGAAAGCCACGGCUAACUACGUGCCAGCAGCCGCGGUAAUACGUAGGUGGCAAGCGUUGUCCGGAUUUAUUGGGCGUAAAGCGAGCGCAGGCGGUUCCUUAAGUCUGAUGUGAAAGCCCCCGGCUCAACCGGGGAGGGUCAUUGGAAACUGGGGAACUUGAGUGCAGAAGAGGAGAGUGGAAUUCCAUGUGUAGCGGUGAAAUGCGUAGAUAUAUGGAGGAACACCAGUGGCGAAGGCGACUCUCUGGUCUGUAACUGACGCUGAGGCUCGAAAGCGUGGGUAGCAAACAGGAUUAGAUACCCCAGUAGUC